CAUGUGGAAUGUAGUGCCAUCAAGCAGAUGGAACUGGCCAACUUUAAGGGAAACUAUUCCUAAAGUUGGAGUACGAAACUCUCGUCUGGUGGCUCCAAUGCCCACUGCUUCCACUAGUCAGAUUCUUGGCAACAAUGAGUACUUUGAACCAUACACGUCUAACAUAUACAGUCGGUGGGUUCUAAGUGGGGAGUCUGCAAGUGGUUAACAAGCAUCUUCUCCAUGAUUUGACUGAGAUGGGUAUCUGGACACCUGCUCUGAAAAAUAAGAUAAUUUAUGAAGAUGGUUCUGUUCAGAAGAUGGGAGAAAACCCUGAUGAUCUUAAAGCAAUUUACAAGUAUGUGGUUCACCUUCCUCUCGUUACAUUCUACUCGAUGCAGUUGAUCUGAAAGCAUACCCAAUUAUUGUAUCAACACUGUUUGGGAGAUCAACUAGAAAACUCUGGUUGACAUGGCUGUUGAUCGUGGAUGCUACAUCGAUCAGAGCCAGAGCCUUAAUGUCCACAUGGAUCAACCAAACUUUGCAGAGCUAACUUCGUUGCAUUUCCAUGCUUGGUCCAAGGGCCUGAAAACUGGGAUGUACUAUUUAAGAACUAGGGCAGCCGCUGAUGCAAUCAAGUUUAUGACUUUAUGUAGGUGUUGUUGGGUUUAAGAUCAGAGGAGUUCCUUUGGUGGGCAGCCCUUGAUGGCUGAGUUGCCAACGUUGGCUUGUGUUGUAUUUGUACUAUCUAAAAACAUGGGUUGCUGCAGCUGUAUAUAUAUGUAUCAUUGUUCGUGUUAUCGAUUUGUUCUGUCGUUGCUGUUAUAGUUGUAUAUGCAUCAAUC
Long non-coding RNA from Triticum aestivum (bread wheat), 824 nucleotides. RefSeq lists it as uncharacterized. NCBI's taxonomy places the organism in Eukaryota, Viridiplantae, Streptophyta, Magnoliopsida, Poales, Poaceae. The transcript has 3 exons. The record is from RefSeq and is a predicted model, not a curated record.